Molecule: long non-coding RNA, 715 nt
Organism: Rosa rugosa (rugosa rose)
Lineage: Eukaryota; Viridiplantae; Streptophyta; Magnoliopsida; Rosales; Rosaceae
Exons: 2
Source: RefSeq, a predicted model, not a curated record
CAGUUUCAAUAAAACUUUCUUGUUCCACCACUACGCUUACUACCAAUACUGUGAUCUCAGAAAUGGAUGCCAAUAUGAACUCUGCAAGACUCUCAAUUGAACUUCCAUAUUCCUUGAGCUGAAGACCAAGAACAACACAGGGAAAUUGAGCUUCGGAAAACUCUUGCCUGUGGAUGAAUUGUCAUAACAUAUAUAUUGGCUUCAUGGCUUUUAUGCUUUCUAAAUAGCAGAAAAUUCUAUUGUGUGUAUAAGCCUGUGAAAAGCUUCCCAGAACUCAAUUGUCAGACACAUAAAAAUACUAUGUUAGACUAAAAGCAAAUCUCGUAUGCACUAAAAAGCUCGUACGUACCGACAUCCAAUCGGAGUAGUUCUGCACUAUGGCCUUCCUGCUCUGAACCCCAAACUACAAAUCCAGAGUGCUAACAUAGUCAAUCUGCAGAAGAUCGAGGUUUGAAAGAUGAAAUUGUCGACUAACAGUCACCGUUUAUAUAUAUCUGUGUACAAGAGCAGCUGGGAACAAGACUUGGUCAGCAAGCAGUCACUUGUGGUUUGGUUUAAAGUUUCUUUCUGACGAUUAAACAUAAUGAAGAAACCAACUGGUAUUGGUUAAUGUCUUAUCAAAAAAAAAAACUGGUAUUGGUUAAUGGUGCAUAUAGUCAAUGUUCGAAAAUUAAUGUCAAUUGGAUCGAGUUGAAAUGGCAUUGCAUGAUUAUUA